UACGUAGGGGGCGAGCGUUGUCCGAAGUUACUGGGCGUAAAGCGCGCGUAGGCGGGCUCUUAAGUGAGGGGUGAAAGGUUCGGGCUCAACCCGAACACUGCCUUUCAUACUGGGAGCCUUGAGUGCGGGAGAGGCGAGUGGAAUGGUCGGUGUAGCGGUGAAAUGCGUAGAUAUCGAUCGGAACACCCAGGGCGAAGGCAGCUCGCUGGCCUGCAACUGACGCUGAGGCGCGAAAGCCAGGGGAGCGAACGGG
RNAcentral lists this ribosomal RNA (253 nucleotides) under uncultured bacterium. RNAcentral's name for it is "partial 16S ribosomal RNA". It matches the Rfam family "Bacterial small subunit ribosomal RNA", at positions 524 to 776 of the family's 1533-position model. The record is from RNAcentral.